CAGUCGCCGCGGGAAUACAGAGGGUGCGAGCGUUAAUCGGAUUUACUGGGCGUAAAGCGUGCGUAGGCGGCUUCUUAAGUCGGAUGUGAAAUCCCUGAGCUUAACUUAGGAAUUGCAUUCGAUACUGGGAAGCUAGAGUGUGGGAGAGGAUGGUAGAAUUCCAGGUGUAGCGGUGAAAUGCGUAGAGAUCUGGAGGAAUACCGAUGGCGAAGGCAGCCAUCUGGCCUAACACUGACGCUGAGGUACGAAAGCAUGGGGAGCAAACAGGAUUAGAUACCCCUGUAGUCCCUGUCUCUUAUAC
Molecule: ribosomal RNA, 301 nt
Filed under: uncultured bacterium
Lineage: Bacteria
Description: partial 16S ribosomal RNA
Rfam family: Bacterial small subunit ribosomal RNA
Source: RNAcentral